Molecule: ribosomal RNA, 1207 nt
Filed under: metagenome
Description: bacterial SSU rRNA
Rfam family: Bacterial small subunit ribosomal RNA
Source: RNAcentral
GGUCUGAGAGGAUGAUCAGCCACACUGGAACUGAGACACGGUCCAGACUCCUACGGGAGGCAGCAGUGGGGAAUAUUGCACAAUGGAGGAAACUCUGAUGCAGCAACGCCGCGUGGAGGAUGACGCAUUUCGGUGUGUAAACUCCUUUUAUAUGGGAAGAUAAUGACGGUACCAUAUGAAUAAGCACCGGCUAACUCCGUGCCAGCAGCCGCGGUAAUACGGAGGGUGCAAGCGUUACUCGGAAUCACUGGGCGUAAAGCGCGCGCAGGCGGCCUUUUAAGUUGGAUGUGAAAGCCUACGGCUCAACCGUAGAACUGCAUCCAAAACUAUUGGGCUAGAGUGUGGGAGAGGAAGAUGGAAUUAGUUGUGUAGGGGUAAAAUCCGUAGAGAUAACUAGGAAUACCAAAAGCGAAGGCAAUCUUCUGGGACAUUACUGACGCUGAGGCGCGAAAGCGUGGGGAGCAAACAGGAUUAGAUACCCUGGUAGUCCACGCCCUAAACGAUGAAUGUUAGUCGUCGGGUAGCUAGUCUAUUCGGUGAUGCAGCUAACGCAUUAAACAUUCCGCCUGGGGAGUACGGUCGCAAGAUUAAAACUCAAAGGAAUAGACGGGGACCCGCACAAGUGGUGGAGCAUGUGGUUUAAUUCGAAAAUACGCGAAGAACCUUACCUAGCCUUGACAUAUAUUAGAACACCCUAGAGAUAGAGUGGUGCCUUCGGGAGCUUUUAUACAGGUGCUGCACGGCUGUCGUCAGCUCGUGUCGUGAGAUGUUGGGUUAAGUCCCGCAACGAGCGCAACCCUCGUCACUAGUUACUAACGGUUCGGCCGAGGACUCUAGUGAGACUGCCUUCGUAAGGAGGAGGAAGGUGAGGACGACGUCAAGUCAUCAUGGCCCUUACGGCUAGGGCAACACACGUGCUACAAUGGCCAGGACAAUGAGACGCGAUACCGCGAGGUGGAGCAAAUCUAUAAACCUGGUCUCAGUUCGGAUUGUAGUCUGCAACUCGACUACAUGAAGCUGGAAUCACUAGUAAUCGUAGAUCAGCUAUGCUACGGUGAAUACGUUCCCGGGUCUUGUACUCACCGCCCGUCACACCAUGGGAGUUGAUUUCACCCGAAGCGGGGAAGCUAAACUGGCUACCCUCCACGGUGGAAUCAGCGACUGGGGUGAAGUCGUAACAAGGUAACCGUAGGAGAACCUGCGGUUG